CAGCAGCCGCGGUAACACGUAGGGUGCAAGCGUUAAUCGGAAUUACUGGGCGUAAAGCGUGCGCAGGCGGCGUUGUAAGACUGAUGUGAAAUCCCCGGGCUCAACCUGGGAACUGCAUUGGUGACUGCAACGCUGGAGUGCGGCAGAGGGGGAUGGAAUUCCGCGUGUAGCAGUGAAAUGCGUAGAUAUGCGGAGGAACACCGAUGGCGAAGGCAAUCCCCUGGGCCUGCACUGACGCUCAUGCACGAAAGCGUGGGGAGCAAACAGGAUUAGAUACCCCCGUAGUCCCUGUCUCUUAUAC
RNAcentral lists this ribosomal RNA (301 nucleotides) under uncultured bacterium. RNAcentral's name for it is "partial 16S ribosomal RNA". It matches the Rfam family "Bacterial small subunit ribosomal RNA", at positions 509 to 807 of the family's 1533-position model. The record is from RNAcentral.